Rhodamnia argentea is the source of this 2428-nucleotide RNA transcript. It is a transcript of the gene named NADPH-dependent diflavin oxidoreductase 1, with no coding region annotated. The record is from RefSeq and is a predicted model, not a curated record. NCBI's taxonomy places the organism in Eukaryota, Viridiplantae, Streptophyta, Magnoliopsida, Myrtales, Myrtaceae. The transcript is spliced from 13 exons.
GGCCUUUCUUCUAUCGCUCGUUCGGGCCUACACUCCUCUGGAAACUCCAAAACCCAAACCGCUCGAGCUCGCCGGAGAAGGAAGACAGAUCUCUUGGGCCUUGGCGGUCACCCGGUGACGGUGGUUCUCAGUAUCGAGUUCAGCUGAUUGUCUCUGGUGCCGGUUGCAGUCGCUUGCCAUCGUUGUGACCUGAAUCUCGCUUCCGAGGGAUUACCGUCGGUUUCGUCUCCCCAGAGCCAUGACAGAGACCAAGUCCAAGAGGCUUCUGAUUCUAUACGCGACUCAGACCGGAAACGCCAUGGACGCGGCGGAGCGCAUUGGCCGCGAGGCCGAGCGCGGGGGCUGUCCCGCUUCCCUCCUUUCCAUGGACGAAUAUGAUGUCAGUUUGUUGCCUCUCGAGGAAACUGUGGUGUUUGUGGUUUCUACCACGGGCCAGGGGGAUACACCAGAUUCCAUGAAGGUCUGUUGGAGGUUUCUACUGCAGAGAAAUCUAAACCGGCAUUGGUUAGAGGGACUUCAUUAUGCCGUGUUUGGGUUAGGUGAUUCUGGUUACCAGAAAUACAAUUUUGUUGCCAAAAAACUUGAUAAGCGACUUUCUGAUCUUGGAGCACAGGCCAUUGUCGAAAGAGGUUUAGGGGAUGACCAGCAUCCUUCAGGGUAUGAAGCUGCUCUGGAUCCUUGGUCGUCAUCCUUGUGGAGAAUGUUAAAUCAGAUGAAUCCAAAGUUAUUUCCUGAUGGUCGAGAUUAUGUGAUAUCAGAUAAGAAAUUCCUGGAUCUGCCAAAGGUUCAGAUCAGAUACCAUGCUGCUGAUGAAGUGAAUCUGCAGUAUUUAGUUGGCUCAGGCUUGUCUUGCACAGAGACUGAAAUCGAGAAGGCUCGCUCUAUGUCUCCUGGAAGAUUCUCUGGUCGCCAUACAAGACCUGAUUGCUUUCUUAAAUUGGUGAAAAAUCAUUGCUUGACCAAGGCAGGCUGUGGAAAGGAUGUGCGUCACCUUGAAUUUAACUUUGAGUCAACUGCUAUUGAAUAUGAUGUAGGUGACGUUCUGGAAAUUCUUCCUGGUCAAGAUCCUGAGGCAGUAGAUGCUUUCUUGGAGCGUUGUCAUUUGGAUCCUGAAUCAUUCAUUACGAUUCAUCCAACAAAACAGGAUAAUCGAAUUAUAGCCAAUGGAAUAAGUGCCUCAAUAGUCCCCAUCAAAUUAAGGACCUUCGUUGAGUUGGCAAUGGAUAUUUCAUCAGCAUCACCGCGACGUUACUUCUUUGAGGUAAUGAGUUAUUUUGCUACAGCCGAACAUGAAAAGGAAAGGCUUCAAUAUUUUGCAUCAGCUGAAGGAAGAGAUGAUCUAUACCAAUACAACCAAAAAGAGCGAAGAUCUGUUUUGGAGGUGUUACAAGAUUUCCCUUCUGUACAACUGCCGCUGGAGUGGUUGGUCCAGUUGGUCCCUCCAUUAAAAACUAGGGCUUUCUCCAUUUCAUCAUCUCCUUCAGCCCAUCCUAAUCAAGUCCACUUAACUGUGAAUGUUGUGUCUUGGAUGACACCUUUUAAGAGGAAUCGAGCAGGGCUUUGCUCAAUGUGGCUGGCCAAUCUUGAUCAGGGUGCUCUUAUUCCGGCAUGGUUUCAGAAAGGUUCACUUUGUCCCCCACCACCAUCGCUGCCUGUCAUCCUCAUUGGACCUGGAACUGGAUGUGCUCCAUUUCGUGGUUUUGUCGAGGAAAGAGUCAUUCAAAGUCAGUCUACAUGGACUGCUCCUAUCAUUUUCUUCUUUGGUUGCCGAAAUGAGGAAAAUGAUUUUCUGUACAGAGAUUUUUGGUUUGAUCAUUCACAAAAUGACGGGGUUCUCUCUGAUGCCAAGGGCGGGGGCCUUUUCGUUGCUUUUUCGAGAGACCAACCUCAGAAGGUAUACGUGCAAGAUAAGAUACGGGAACACAGCCAAGUGGUAUGGAAUUUGUUGAACUCGGGAGCUGCCAUCUACGUCGCAGGUUCUUCAACUAAAAUGCCCUCUGAUGUUUGGUCAGCAUUUGAAGACAUCAUAUCUAAAGACGGUGCAGUUUCGAGGGAAUCUGCUGUUCGGUGGCUUAGGGCACUGGAGAAGGCUGGUAAGUAUCAUGUUGAAGCUUGGUCUUGAAUUUGCCCCAACUCUUCUUCAGACAGAACGGUGGAGGAAACAAGGAUGACCCGGCCUUGUGUAGAAGAGCUGUUUUUCGGAACUUUUAAGUUUUUCAACCUUCAUGCAAAGAUACACAUCCUUUUAAUCAGGAAGUCAGAUCUUUUCCUGGCGUUACCAGGCUGGCGAGCUUGAAGGAGGAUGGUCAAGGAUUUGACAUCAGUGCAGUAUUUAACUUAUGCACUUCAACCAUUUUUAGCAUGAACCCUGUAAGAGACUAUAAAUUCCAGUUUUUUGUGCAUUUUAAUGAUCACGGAUGUAAUUGGA